RNAcentral lists this ribosomal RNA (1139 nucleotides) under uncultured Cyanobium sp. RNAcentral describes it as "bacterial SSU rRNA". It matches the Rfam family "Bacterial small subunit ribosomal RNA", at positions 361 to 1515 of the family's 1533-position model. Lineage: Bacteria; Bacillati; Cyanobacteriota; Cyanophyceae; Synechococcales; Prochlorococcaceae. The record is from RNAcentral.
AUUUUCCGCAAUGGGCGAAAGCCUGACGGAGCAACGCCGCGUGAGGGAUGAAGGCCUCUGGGCUGUAAACCUCUUUUCUCAAGGAAGAAGAUCUGACGGUACUUGAGGAAUAAGCCACGGCUAAUUCCGUGCCAGCAGCCGCGGUAAUACGGGAGUGGCAAGCGUUAUCCGGAAUUAUUGGGCGUAAAGCGUCCGCAGGCGGCUCUGUAAGUCUGCUGUCAAAGCGUGGAGCUUAACUCCAUUUCGGCAGUGGAAACUACAGGGCUUGAGUGUGGUAGGGGCAGAGGGAAUUCCCGGUGUAGCGGUGAAAUGCGUAGAUAUCGGGAAGAACACCAGUGGCGAAGGCGCUCUGCUGGGCCAUAACUGACGCUCAUGGACGAAAGCCAGGGGAGCGAAAGGGAUUAGAUACCCCUGUAGUCCUGGCCGUAAACGAUGAACACUAGGUGUCGGGGGAAUCGACCCCCUCGGUGUCGUAGCCAACGCGUUAAGUGUUCCGCCUGGGGAGUACGCACGCAAGUGUGAAACUCAAAGGAAUUGACGGGGGCCCGCACAAGCGGUGGAGUAUGUGGUUUAAUUCGAUGCAACGCGAAGAACCUUACCAGGGUUUGACAUCCUGCGAACCUCUGAGAAAUCGGAGGGUGCCUUCGGGAACGCAGAGACAGGUGGUGCAUGGCUGUCGUCAGCUCGUGUCGUGAGAUGUUGGGUUAAGUCCCGCAACGAGCGCAACCCACGUCGUUAGUUGCCAGCAUUCAGUUGGGCACUCUAGCGAGACCGCCGGUGAUAAACCGGAGGAAGGUGUGGAUGACGUCAAGUCAUCAUGCCCCUUACAUCCUGGGCUACACACGUACUACAAUGCUACGGACAAAGGGCAGCGAGCUCGCGAGAGUAAGCAAAUCCCAUAAACCGUGGCUCAGUUCAGAUCGUAGGCUGCAACUCGCCUACGUGAAGGAGGAAUCGCUAGUAAUCGCAGGUCAGCAUACUGCGGUGAAUACGUUCCCGGGCCUUGUACACACCGCCCGCCACACCAUGGAAGUUGGCCAUGCCCGAAGUCGUUACUCCAACCCUUGUGGAGGAGGACGCCGAAGGUGGGGCUGAUGACUGGGGUGAAGUCGUAACAAGGUAGCCGUACCGGAAGGUGC